GCAUAAUAAAUAGUUUUUUAAUUGGGGACUGGAAUGAAGGGUAUAAACUAAAAAGAGAAGUUUUAUUUGAUGAUUUUGAAAUUAAAUUAAAAGUAAAAAUGCUUUUAUUAAAUUUUGGGACGAGAAGACCCUAGAAGCUUGAAAUUUUUAGUUUUUUGUUGGGGUAACAUUUGAAGGUAAAAAUUUUUGAAGUUUAAAAAGGAAAUUUUUAUGAAGUUACUCUAGGGAUAACAGCAUUAUUUAAUUAGCGAGUUCCUAUUAAUAAUUAAGUUUGUGACCUCGAUGUUGAAUUAAUU
This 296-nucleotide ribosomal RNA is filed under the name Deltaspidium tenue. RNAcentral describes it as "partial 16S ribosomal RNA". Lineage: Eukaryota; Metazoa; Arthropoda; Arachnida; Opiliones; Gonyleptidae. The record is from RNAcentral.